CAUCACAUUCACAGCUCCACAGGCUAACGUUCUCUAUACUGAUGGCCCCUUCUUAGUUGAUGAUUUUUCACAAUGUAUUUCAUGGCUUCCAUCCCUACAUGAGACUUUAUUACUAUCACAUAGGAAUAAAAAGCCAUAAAGCACUAGAGUGAAUUUAUCUUGGUCGGAUGCAAAACUUAUUUUCUUCACAUGACUUCACAACCAUUUCAAAGCUAACCAAUCAUUUCACGCUACAUUAAAGAACAUUUUAAACUACACAUAAGUGACAGGAAGCACACUUGAAUUGUGACAUCACGAAUUAACAAGAUUUUAUCCUUCCACGACAUUCUUAGCUACAAGGACCGGGAAACAAGACCAAGAGACACUCAGCAACAUUCAGCCAUUGAAUUCACCAAAAACAAAGGACACUGGGAAGAAUUCCUGGAGAAAUGCUCAUCACUUUGACAUUGAACUUGGAAACACAUACGGAAAGACAGAAGACAGACAAAUCACUGAUGCAAACUGAAACCAGAGGAAUUAUUUCAAGCCUCUUGCUCCAACUUUUCCCCAGAAAGCUUUCUUACAUACCCAUGCUGGCUUUUAGACUUUUCAUUUUGGGUCAGGUGGGGAGUCGGGAUCUUAGUACCUGUUUGACUAUGUAAGCGUUAAGCUUUCUCUACACCUAAAUAACAAAAAGGAAAUAAAAAAGUAUAGCAUACUAUGUGCUAACUGCUCA
Molecule: long non-coding RNA, 715 nt
Filed under: Homo sapiens (human)
Lineage: Eukaryota; Metazoa; Chordata; Mammalia; Primates; Hominidae
Description: HSALNT0193684
Source: RNAcentral